RNAcentral lists this unclassified non-coding RNA (25 nucleotides) under Mus musculus (house mouse). RNAcentral describes it as "oocyte_clustered_small_RNA8990". Lineage: Eukaryota; Metazoa; Chordata; Mammalia; Rodentia; Muridae. The record is from RNAcentral.
GUAAUGAGAUCUGAUCUGAUGCCCU